Non-coding RNA from Ciona savignyi (Pacific transparent sea squirt), 119 nucleotides. The record is from Rfam. NCBI's taxonomy places the organism in Eukaryota, Metazoa, Chordata, Ascidiacea, Phlebobranchia, Cionidae.
GCUUAUCACCAUUCCAGCUUGAAUAUACCCGAUCUCGUCUGAUCUCGGAGGUCAAGCAAUCUCGGGCUUGGUUAGUACUUGGAUGGGUGACCGCUUGGGAAUACCAAGUGUGAUAAGCA